AUGAACGCUGGCGGCGUGCCUAAUACAUGCAAGUCGCGCGAACAGAUAAGGAGCUUGCUCCUUUGACGUUAGCGGCGGACGGGUGAGUAACACGUGGGUAACCUACCUAUAAGACUGGAAUAACUCCGGGAAACCGGGGCUAAUGCCGGAUAACAUUUAGAACCGCAUGGUUCUAAAGUGAAAGAUGGUUUUGCUAUCACUUAUAGAUGGACCCGCGCCGUAUUAGCUAGUUGGUAAGGUAACGGCUUACCAAGGCAACGAUACGUAGCCGACCUGAGAGGGUGAUCGGCCACACUGGAACUGAGACACGGUCCAGACUCCUACGGGAGGCAGCAGUAGGGAAUCUUCCGCAAUGGGCGAAAGCCUGACGGAGCAACGCCGCGUGAGUGAUGAAGGUCUUCGGAUCGUAAAACUCUGUUAUUAGGGAAGAACAAAUGUGUAAGUAACUGUGCACGUCUUGACGGUACCUAAUCAGAAAGCCACGGCUAACUACGUG
RNAcentral lists this ribosomal RNA (496 nucleotides) under uncultured bacterium. Its description in RNAcentral is "partial 16S ribosomal RNA". It matches the Rfam family "Bacterial small subunit ribosomal RNA", at positions 29 to 507 of the family's 1533-position model. The record is from RNAcentral.